UGCUCCCCAAGCACCAGUUCUCAUUCAGAUUCACGCCAAGUAACAACACGCGUCUGCAUUAUACAUUCGUCGUUGAUAAAAAGAUUACUCGAAAUCUUCUUUGACUCCAGCCAUUCAUUUUUUGUCGAUUGUUCUCAACCAGAGUUAAAUCGGUUAAAUUAAACCCCGAGAGUGCGUUUUGUCGGCAUUCUUGUUCUUCUUCCGUGUUUACGAGAAUAACACCUCGUGUGCAAUUACAACGAAUUGCAUCGCAUCUUCAAGUUCUAUUUCGGCUUCGCAGAGAUUGUGUAGUCUCAAUUCAAUAAAGAAAAAAAAUCGUCAAGUUGUAGAAACCAGAAGAAAAGAUGAGUACAGCCUUCGGUACACCGGCGUGGAGUUCAAACUCCUUCUGCAGCAGCUCCACCUCCUCGUCGCCCUCGUCCUCCAGAUCCAGCAGCACGACGUCAUCGCCCUCCACAAGUCCCCCAGAAAAUGACUCCAACAAGUUCAACUGGAUGGAAGCCAUCACGAACCUCCAGUCCCAAAUUACCGCCGAGGCCAAGGUGAAGAGGAAAUACGCCAUUUACACCAUCCCAGAAGAGACGAAGGAUGAACUGACUCGAUACAAGAUGAAAUAAUAAGUCUUACUUGUGACACUAGAAAUAGUUAAGUUAAUUAUGAUAAUUAUACAUCAGAAUAAUUCUACUCCAAGUCAAUUUACUUGUUGUACUCGUCAUACACUUCGUUUAGUAAUAUUUUUGAUAUUCAGCUGCUUUAAGUACUCGUCUUCCUCCAGAGUUGUAAUGUACGAAAAUGACAAAAGGAUGUGCGCAAUAUUAGAAUUUUGCUCGUGUUAUGUUGAGAAAAUAUUUAAAAAAAACUAAUAAAAAACAAACAGUGGUAUGAACUACCAAGAAAUCUGUUCCAUCGCCCACAAUCGCGAGCAGGAAGGAAGGUUUCAAAAUUUGACCAGGAUGUUUUUCCCAGGGAGGAAGCCUGUGAAUUAUGGGGCAGGUUGUUUGCGGUGUUGGAAGUAUUUCCCCGAGAUGUAUAUGAUGUGUGACAGUUUGUUAAAAACUUAUACUCAAUCAGUGUAUCAAGUAGGAUAAUGCAUAUGUACAUGUGGUUGUACGCAUAUUAUAUCUGUUUAGUCUGACUGACACUCGCUAAUAAAUUAAAUAAACGACUCCUUGCUAUCCGUAAAAAAA
Folsomia candida is the source of this 1187-nucleotide long non-coding RNA. RefSeq lists it as uncharacterized. NCBI's taxonomy places the organism in Eukaryota, Metazoa, Arthropoda, Collembola, Entomobryomorpha, Isotomidae. The record is from RefSeq and is a predicted model, not a curated record. The transcript has 2 exons.